Molecule: ribosomal RNA, 301 nt
Filed under: uncultured bacterium
Lineage: Bacteria
Description: partial 16S ribosomal RNA
Rfam family: Bacterial small subunit ribosomal RNA
Source: RNAcentral
CAGCCGCCGCGGGAAUACAGAGGGUGCGAGCGUUAAUCGGAUUUACUGGGCGUAAAGCGUGCGUAGGCGGCUGAUUAAGUCGGAUGUGAAAUCCCUGAGCUUAACUUAGGAAUUGCAUUCGAUACUGGUCAGCUAGAGUAUGGGAGAGGAUGGUAGAAUUCCAGGUGUAGCGGUGAAAUGCGUAGAGAUCUGGAGGAAUACCGAUGGCGAAGGCAGCCAUCUGGCCUAAUACUGACGCUGAGGUACGAAAGCAUGGGGAGCAAACAGGAUUAGAUACCCCCGUAGUCCCUGUCUCUUAUAC